CCCUGACCCUCUCCCCGCAAGCGGGGAGAGGGGACUGGGAGCAUGCCGCGAGUCCCUUCUCCCCGCAGGCGGGGAGAAGGUGCCGG
This 86-nucleotide microRNA precursor is filed under the name Sinorhizobium terangae. Its description in RNAcentral is "microRNA MIR1846". The record is from RNAcentral. Lineage: Bacteria; Pseudomonadati; Pseudomonadota; Alphaproteobacteria; Hyphomicrobiales; Rhizobiaceae.